RNAcentral lists this ribosomal RNA (508 nucleotides) under uncultured bacterium. RNAcentral's name for it is "bacterial SSU rRNA". It matches the Rfam family "Bacterial small subunit ribosomal RNA", at positions 340 to 848 of the family's 1533-position model. The record is from RNAcentral.
UACGGGAGGCAGCAGUGAGGAAUAUUGGUCAAUGGACGAGAGUCUGAACCAGCCAAGUAGCGUGAAGGAUGACUGCCCUAUGGGUUGUAAACUUCUUUUAUACGGGAAUAAAGUUAGCCACGUGUGGCUUUUUGUAUGUACCGUAUGAAUAAGGAUCGGCUAACUCCGUGCCAGCAGCCGCGGUAAUACGGAGGAUCCGAGCGUUAUCCGGAUUUAUUGGGUUUAAAGGGAGCGUAGGCGGGUUGUUAAGUCAGUUGUGAAAGUUUGCGGCUCAACCGUAAAAUUGCAGUUGAUACUGGCGACCUUGAGUGCAACAGAGGUAGGCGGAAUUCGUGGUGUAGCGGUGAAAUGCUUAGAUAUCACGAAGAACUCCGAUUGCGAAGGCAGCUUACUGGAUUGUAACUGACGCUGAUGCUCGAAAGUGUGGGUAUCAAACAGGAUUAGAUACCCUGGUAGUCCACACAGUAAACGAUGAAUACUCGCUGUUGGCGAUAUACGGUCAGCGGCC